UUUAAAUUUCUCUGUUGUCAUUGGCAGAGUAUGCCCUUAUGAAAACCAUAAUUUUCUUAGUUUUACCCAAAAUUUUGGCAAUGUUCUUGGAUGUUUUUUAGUAAUAUCUGAAGCCCAACGGUUACCCUUGAGAGCUUUCUUCUUUUCUCGUCUUCUUCUCUUUUUUUUUUCCCUCUCUUCCUCACCAUGCUUUUCCCCUCUUCCCACCAUCCCCUAUUUGUAGGAGAGGGAAGCCAAGGUGUUAGUUGUCUAUCUGAUGUGGGACAUGUGGUUCACCAUUUUAACUUCCUAACUGAUGUGAGACCUUUG
Molecule: long non-coding RNA, 309 nt
Filed under: Carica papaya (papaya)
Lineage: Eukaryota; Viridiplantae; Streptophyta; Magnoliopsida; Brassicales; Caricaceae
Description: long non-coding RNA (CPAP_LNC000759)
Source: RNAcentral